This is an RNA transcript of Elaeis guineensis (African oil palm), 2775 nucleotides long. RefSeq lists it as uncharacterized. Lineage: Eukaryota; Viridiplantae; Streptophyta; Magnoliopsida; Arecales; Arecaceae. The record is from RefSeq and is a predicted model, not a curated record.
GAUGUCCACACCUGGCUUCAACAACCCGUGCGGUGCCCAUAUCUACAGCCCGGCGGGGCACCGCCUGGUUAUAUUAUCAUCUAGAGCUACCGGAUUCCACGGCUGGUCUCCAUCCUCCCUCUCCUUCCCUCAUCGCCAUGCGGACCCGCUGACUCCUUCUCGCCCGUCUCCCCCAAUCACUUCCCUUCUCUUUCCCUCUCUCGAUCUCUUAUCCGCUCCUUUUCCCGCUAUCCUCCACCCCCUCUUCUUCUUUAUCUAACCCUAAAUCACGGAUUCUUCUCGUCAAUGUCGUGGCUGAGAUCGGCCGUCAACAAAGCCGUCGAGGUCGGCGGCAAGAACAAUCUCACCCGCACCGUCAAGAACUAUGCCGACACCGUCGUCCACCACGCUGGCCAGGCCGUCGCCGGCGGGGCCAAGAUCAUCCAAGACCGCAUGGGAAUGCGAAAUUACAAAAGCUUCAAACUUACUGUGAAAAGAUUGGAAGAAGUUGCUGUAACUUGCAGAGGGGAAGAGAGAGUCCAGCUAUUAAGAAGAUGGUUGGUUGCAUUGAAAGAAACUGAGAGAUUAUCUGGAAGUUCAGUGGAUGAUAAAACUCCAGAGCAGCCGACAUCUUCUGAUGAGGCAAAUUCAUCUCCUAGAAAUGCUUCGUUGAUUUUAUUUUUUGAUUCUGAUAUGGGGGGUGAGCCCAUGAAUUUCCGCGACAUGUUUCUUCAUAGUCAAGCUCUUGAAGGCAUCACAUUGUCCAUGAUUCUGGAAGCUCCGAAUGAGGAAGAAGUUUCUCUGCUCUUGGAAAUUUUUGGACUCUGUUUUACAGGAGGGAAGGAAGUCCAUAAUGCAAUUAUGAGUAGUAUACAGGACUUGGCAAAAGCAUUCUCAAAUUACCAAGAUGAAGUAUUGGUAAAACAGGAAGAAUUGCUUCAGUUUGCGCAAUGUGCUAUUUCAGGACUUAAAGUAAAUGCUGAACAAUCAAGAGUAGAUGCUGAACUCUCAAAGCUGCGGAAAAAGAUUGAUGGAGUGGAAGCAUUGCAGACUCCGUCAGUCGAGGAUCACGAUGGAGCAUCAUCUGAAAGGACUUCUCUUGCUACUGUGGAGGCUCUAAAAGAUGCACUGGCAGAAGUUCGCCUAUGCUCUAGACUUGUACUACUCUUACUAAAGAAGAAGUCCAUAAACAGUGGGGACUCAUUAGAAAUUCGCUCUCAGAAGGUUGAUAAGUUGAAGGUACUAGAAGAAUCUCUUGCCAACUCUUGCUCCAAGGCAGAAAAACGAAUACUAGAUCACAGGCAUCAAAAAGAGGAGGCUCUCAACUUUCGUGUGGCUAAAGCCAAUGAAGUUGGUGAGAUAGAGAAGGAAUUGGUCACGGAGAUUGCUGGGCUGGAGAAGCAAAGAAAUGAAUUAGAAGCUGCAUUGAAGAAAGUCAAUAUUUCUUUGUCAGCUGCUGUUGCACGCCUUAAGAAGACCAGGGAGGAGAGAGAUCAGUUUGAUGAAGCGAGCAAUCAGAUUGUUGCACAUUUGAAAGCCAAGGAGAACGAGCUUUCAAGAUCUAUUGUGUCAUGUAAAGUAGAAGCUGAUAUUGUCCAUACAUGGAUCAAUUUCUUGGAGGAUACCUGGCAGCUCCAGUCCUCUUAUGCAGAACUGAAGGAGAAGCAGACCAAUGAUGAGUUGGAAAAAUAUGGAAACUGUUUUCUGAAGUUGAUCAAGUAUCACCUUUCUGCAUGCCAGGAAGAAUUGAGGCCUUCUAUAAAUCGUAUUGAGACAUUUGUGGAUAACCUGAAAAGAUUGAACGAAAGUGUGGAGGUAACAGAAAGUGCAGACAGUGACAUAUCUAAAGAAUCUAACCCACGGAUAGUUCUUGAGGAGGAAUAUUUGGAAGUUGAGACAAAGAUCGUAAUCACCUUCAGUGUGGUUGAUCACAUGAGGGAGCUGUUUUAUGCUGAACAAGGGAACACUUUGAGGAAAGAUAAUUCUGAGAUCAAAGAAUUAUUUGAUUCCAUUGAGAAAAUGAGAGGAGAAUUUGAAUCCAUUGAGAGACCAAUACUGGAGAUCGAGAUGCCUAGAGAAGAGGUGACUGUGUUUGAAGAGAGAUCACAAAAAGGUCCAUCUCAUACUGCACAGACAACCAAUUCACCUAAAUCCAAGGGGGUUGAGUCUCCCAAGUCAGCCUCUAAUUCACCUAGACCCAUAGGGGUUGGAUCUCCCAAGCCAUCUCAAGUGAGAACUGAACAAAACCUGGAUCCAGAAUCAGAACUGGCAAAACUGGAACUUGAAUUUGGAAAAAUCAGCAAAGACUAUUCAACAGAUGAGAUUGGUGGCUGGGAGUUUGAUGAGCUUGAGCAGGAACUGAGGUCGGGCAUUUCAGAAUCAAAUAAAUAGGCCUAAACUGCGUUGGCUGAAGUAGCAGUCAUCGAAGUCCCAUUCUGUACACACAACAUCAUCAAUAUAUGGUAUGAAGCAUGCUCUUCGAACAUAAAUGGAACUGGAUAAAUUUUGACUUCACGUAGAUGCGUGCAAGAGGCCCAGGAGUUAAAAGGUAGAAGCCACAUGGGCAUUCUACUUUCUGGGAACUAUUUUGGAUCGGGGGAUUGGGUCAUCUUCAUACACAAAAAAUUUUUUGUGCAUCGUCCGUGAUGUAGAAAAUCUGAUGUGAAGUGCACCGUUUUGCUCUAUUAAAUUACGUAACCAUUGCUUUUCAAUACAUAUUUAAUAUCCGCAGUUCUAUUUUUUCAUUUGAAAUUUUGAAUGGCAAAAAUAUUUUUCUUAAAUUAUGGCAUCCUUUCA